RNAcentral lists this ribosomal RNA (254 nucleotides) under uncultured bacterium. Its description in RNAcentral is "partial 16S ribosomal RNA". It matches the Rfam family "Bacterial small subunit ribosomal RNA", at positions 524 to 776 of the family's 1533-position model. The record is from RNAcentral.
UACGUAGGGUGCGAGCGUUGUCCGGAAUUAUUGGGCGUAAAGAGCUCGUAGGCGGUGUGUCACGUCGGCCGUGAAAACCUGCAGCUUAACUGUGGGCGUGCGGUCGAUACGGGCAUCACUGGAGUUCGGCAGGGGAGACUGGAAUUCCAGGUGUAGCGGUGAAAUGCGUAGAUAUCUGGAGGAAUACCGGUGGCGAAGGCGGCAUCCUGGACCGACAUUGACGCUGAUGAGCGAAAGCUAGGGGAGCAAACGGG